This 205-nucleotide long non-coding RNA is filed under the name Elaeis guineensis (African oil palm). RNAcentral describes it as "long non-coding RNA (EGUI_LNC080218)". The record is from RNAcentral. Lineage: Eukaryota; Viridiplantae; Streptophyta; Magnoliopsida; Arecales; Arecaceae.
ACCCUCACUCAAACAUAGAAGAAAGGGGGAAGCAAAAAGAAAAAGCGACGAACUACACCAGUGAUAGGUAAAAAACAAACUACAUCAAAAGCACAAGGGACCUUAUCUCGAUGGAAGAGAAAAUCCCUGUCGAAAAUCUCUGAUCUCUAAAGGCAAAUCGACAUGGCAACGGCCAAGAACCUUCAAACUGUGAUGGCAUCGAACA